UUUGAUGGAAUGGCUGAAAGAUUGGCAUUCAGUUGAUUUUUUUAAGAUUCGAUUAAUUUAUGCACUGUAGAUUUUUUCUUUUUAAUCUCCUGAGUUCUUGUUCAGUUUGGUAACGCCGGCAAAACAAUGGGUAGAAGAAAAGCGGAAAAGAGAGAUCAGAGAGACUAGAGAGAUGACAGAGACACGAGAGAGAAGUGUGACUUUUGAAGAUGUAAACCGGGUAAGAAAAUCUUUUCACUCAUCUUAACGACCUUUUUCCUGUUUUCUCUGUUUUCCUUAAUUUCCCCCCCCUUUUUUUUUGCGAAUUCUUGCAAGAAUUGCUUCCCUUCUACUUAAUAGCUACGAUGACGUCAAACUUGGUGCAUAAAUCUUAUGAUACCAAGUUGUUGGAAACUUGGUAUAGUAAUUUUAGUAGUUUCUGAGUAAUGAAUUUUGCUUUUGUUUCAUAGUUAUUAUCCAGUUUUGACUCUUGCUGUUACAGAAGAGCAGGUGGUCCCAGAGUCUGCAACUGAAGAAUUUAGUGAUAUGGUAGAUGACCUAAUCUCUUGAUUGGUAAUUGGGGAUUUGUUCAAUGAAUUGAUAUCUUUUGAUUUAAUGUGGGCAUGUAAAACCGUAACGACCAAUGACCACUUCCUCUGUUUGAACUGGGAUGAAGUAUCAUUAGUCUUUAGUCCUGAUUGUUGUUAUUCUCUCAAUCUAAACUAAAGAAAUUUAGAGGUAGGACAAGGAAAAAAUAUAAAUGCGAGUAAAUUGAACAAACUUUCAGUUGGCCCGUGGGGA
This 780-nucleotide long non-coding RNA is filed under the name Phoenix dactylifera (date palm). RNAcentral describes it as "long non-coding RNA (PDAC_LNC017402)". The record is from RNAcentral. Lineage: Eukaryota; Viridiplantae; Streptophyta; Magnoliopsida; Arecales; Arecaceae.